UCCACCCUUAGGUGGGUGGAGAAAACAGGAGAAUUCUGGGAGAAGGAGUCUUGGUGGAGAGUCGCCAUGGUUCUCCCGCUCCAGACAGACGCAGGUUAAGAUCCUCCCUGGUAAGCCAGCUCGUGGGCUACACAGAAUAUUAGAAAUGGGUUAGAACAAUAUGUAAGAGCUAGCCAUAAGGAACUGGAACUAUCCGGGCCAGGCAGUGUUUGAAAGAA
This is a long non-coding RNA of Alexandromys fortis (reed vole), 218 nucleotides long. RefSeq lists it as uncharacterized. NCBI's taxonomy places the organism in Eukaryota, Metazoa, Chordata, Mammalia, Rodentia, Cricetidae. The record is from RefSeq and is a predicted model, not a curated record. The transcript is spliced from 2 exons.